RNAcentral lists this ribosomal RNA (464 nucleotides) under uncultured bacterium. Its description in RNAcentral is "partial 16S ribosomal RNA". It matches the Rfam family "Bacterial small subunit ribosomal RNA", at positions 28 to 507 of the family's 1533-position model. The record is from RNAcentral.
GACGAACGCUGGCGGCGUGCCUAACACAUGCAAGUCGAGCGAAUGAAGUUCCUUCGGGAAUGGAUUUAGCGGCGGACGGGUGAGUAACACGUGGGCAGCCUGCCUCAUAGAGGGGAAUAGCCUCCCGAAAGGGAGAUUAAUACCGCAUAAGAUUGUAGUACCGCAUGAUACAGCAAUUAAAGGAGCAAUCCGCUAUGAGAUGGGCCCGCGGCGCAUUAGCUAGUUGGUGAGGUAAUGGCUCACCAAGGCGACGAUGCGUAGCCGACCUGAGAGGGUGAUCGGCCACAUUGGGACUGAGACACGGCCCAGACUCCUACGGGAGGCAGCAGUGGGGAAUAUUGCACAAUGGGGGAAACCCUGAUGCAGCAACGCCGCGUGAGUGAUGACGGCCUUCGGGUUGUAAAGCUCUGUCUUCAGGGACGAUAAUGACGGUACCUGAGGAGGAAGCCACGGCUAACUACGUG